CCAGCCUAACUUGAUGAAGAAGGCAGAAGAUAGAGUCUGGCUAGAGCUCCCCACGUGUUGUAAUCCGACUAGAUGUUAUCUAUAGUAAUCGACUACAGGUCCUGCCAUGUAACCUUACCUCUCAGAGUAUAUAAGGGGAGGUAGGGGUAUCUCUAGGAGGGGGACUAAUCCAAUCCCUCAACGUACAACAACCAACACCUGAGCACAGGACGCAAUACAAUCCUCCAAACAGGACGUAGGGUAUUACGCUACACUGGUGGUCCGAACCUGUAUAAAUCUCUCUGUUUUGUGCCUUCCGUUACCAUCAAGUUUAUGGUCUUGCGAUCCUCUCUACCUACAAAUUAACCAUCUGGGUACUCCUAGGUAGACUACCGGUCACUAAAUUCGACAGCUGGCGUGCCAGGUAGGGGUGAUCGUAGGAUCCUCCCAAGCGAGUUUGAUGGCAGAAGUCAACGACGUUACGGGUGAGACGUUCCUAACAUUCAUAUAUCAGAUCGAUUUGUUUUCCAAUUUACUAAUUCGAAACCGUGUUUCAUUUCCGAUCUGAUCGUGAGAACUGUGUGUCCCUGAUCGAUGAUCCUCCUGGCAUCACCACGUCAGCGCAUGCAUGCGCAUCGAGGGGCCCUGGCCGAUUUGAGGAGCACGACGGCGCGAGGUAGGCAGCUGCCGUGAUGAUUGUUGCUGGAGUACACGUGCAUGCAGGACGGAUAGCAUGCAUGAGCAACACACGUCGGUAAACCUACACGGAAGAUUCUUUCGGUAUCAUACUUCAAU
Molecule: long non-coding RNA, 774 nt
Filed under: Setaria italica (foxtail millet)
Lineage: Eukaryota; Viridiplantae; Streptophyta; Magnoliopsida; Poales; Poaceae
Description: long non-coding RNA (SITA_LNC000099)
Source: RNAcentral